Molecule: ribosomal RNA, 492 nt
Filed under: uncultured bacterium
Lineage: Bacteria
Description: partial 16S ribosomal RNA
Rfam family: Bacterial small subunit ribosomal RNA
Source: RNAcentral
AGUGAACGCUGGCGGUAGGCCUAACACAUGCAAGUCAAACGGCAGCACAGUAAGAGCUUGCUCUUACGGGUGGCGAGUGGCGGACGGGUGAGGAAUACAUCGGAAUCUACUUUUUCGUGGGGGAUAACGUAGGGAAACUUACGCUAAUACCGCAUACGACCUACGGGUGAAAGCAGGGGAUCUUCGGACCUUGCGCGAUUGAAUGAGCCGAUGUCGGAUUAGCUAGUUGGCGGGGUAAAGGCCCACCAAGGCGACGAUCCGUAGCUGGUCUGAGAGGAUGAUCAGCCACACUGGAACUGAGACACGGUCCAGACUCCUAAGGGAGGCAGCAGUGGGGAAUAUUGGACAAUGGGCGCAAGCCUGAUCCAGCCAUACCGCGUGGGUGAAGAAGGCCUUCGGGUUGUAAAGCCCUUUUGUUGGGAAAGAAAAGCAGCAGGUUAAUACCCCGCUGUUCUGACGGUACCCAAAGAAUAAGCACCGGCUAACUUCGUG